This is a long non-coding RNA of Sapajus apella (tufted capuchin), 411 nucleotides long. RefSeq lists it as uncharacterized. The transcript has 3 exons. Lineage: Eukaryota; Metazoa; Chordata; Mammalia; Primates; Cebidae. The record is from RefSeq and is a predicted model, not a curated record.
UUAUUUUUUUGUAUUAUGAAAUAGUUUAAAUAUAUAGAAAGAUAGAGUAACAACUGACUCAUAUACUCACAACCAGCUUUAUCAAAGUAUAAGAAUUGGCUAUACAGUAUUUGCUUAUUUUUAAAAGAAAGAAAUAAUUAAAGAUAUUUUCAUUUGCAUCCUUUCCCCAAUCUCAUUUGUCUUUCUCCCUGUGGGUCACAAUGGUUCUGAAUCUGAGGAUUAUUUUAUGGAUUCUUUUUAUAUACUAUUUAGCCAUCAAAAAUAUACAUAACACUAAUUAGCAUGUUUUCAAAUUGUACGUGGUAUACUAUGUUUACAAAAUGCUCUGUAGUUCAAAUUCAUUAAGGCUAUUUUUGAGAUUUACCCAUGUUGACAGAAAUAUCUCUAGUUAUCUCAUUUUAAUUUGUAAGA